RNAcentral lists this ribosomal RNA (253 nucleotides) under uncultured bacterium. Its description in RNAcentral is "partial 16S ribosomal RNA". It matches the Rfam family "Bacterial small subunit ribosomal RNA", at positions 524 to 776 of the family's 1533-position model. The record is from RNAcentral.
UACGUAGGGUGCGAGCGUUAAUCGGAAUUACUGGGCGUAAAGCGUGCGCAGGCGGUGAUGUAAGGCAGUUGUGAAAUCCCCGGGCUCAACCUGGGAACUGCAUUUGUGACUGCAUCGCUGGAGUACGGCAGAGGGGGAUGGAAUUCCGCGUGUAGCAGUGAAAUGCGUAGAUAUGCGGAGGAACACCGAUGGCGAAGGCAAUCCCCUGGGCCUGUACUGACGCUCAUGCACGAAAGCGUGGGGAGCAAACAGG